CAGAUGGUCAGCAUAGACGUCCUCAGUGGCUGCUCUACCCUUGCAUCUCGUGACUGCAGGAUGGCCUGCUCCGGCCUCCCUCCCCACCCCUCCAUAGCACCGCCUUGCACAUAACCAAGAGGGUAAGACCAGUGGGGGUUCCCUGAUUGCUGGCACAACUGUGGGGGGAAGGAGACCGUGACACUGAGCUGAGAGAAGCUUGGGCAGAGGGUGCAGGAAGAAAGAUGCUGGGGACCUUGGUGGCAAAUCUCAUAAAUGUGAAACCACGUGAAUGAAUGGCUUCCCUUCAUCUCUAAGAUGAAGCAGGAGUUCCAGAAUUCCAGCUGGGACAUCGAAUUCUGAGGGUUGCAAGGCCAAAAGCUCACCAAAGCAAGAAGCCCUCCUGUAUUCCAUAACCACCGCUGCAGAGUGACCUUGGCUCCACACCUGGACAGUGGACUGGCACCCUCUGUGUCGUUCCUGUUGGUUUCACUCAUGGUAUCUCUGUGGCCUCUUGGGUGGUUCAGGUUUAGCACUCGGGUCCACAGGACACUCCUCCCCAUUUCGUGGUCGAUCGAGCACGUUAGAAAGCCAUUCCUUUGGCCUUUAGCAAAGCGAGUCAUCCUCUGUGGCGUCACUGUUUCCAUGGGAAAACCAGUCAGUGUACAGAUCCCACUCAAGCCAUCUUCCCCUAGAAUGCAGGCCACUUGUUAUUAAUGUCCUUCCUCAAGGAGCACCGGUGGGUGAUAGUUCAGCAUGAGAAGUUUUAAGUCUGCAAGGUGCCCACACCUGGGCUGGACAAGCUGAGGCAUGCUGCCCCCUGUAGAGUCAGAAACACCUACAACUCACCAAGCCCUCCCCUUGCCCUUCAAACUCCCUGAUAAAAACUCUUUCCCCUUCCUCGCCCCUCCUCUUGGUACCAGAGAUUAAACCCAUGGAUGCUUAGCCACCGAGACACAUGC
This 941-nucleotide long non-coding RNA is filed under the name Marmota monax (woodchuck). The record is from RNAcentral. Lineage: Eukaryota; Metazoa; Chordata; Mammalia; Rodentia; Sciuridae.